Molecule: ribosomal RNA, 447 nt
Filed under: uncultured bacterium
Lineage: Bacteria
Description: bacterial SSU rRNA
Rfam family: Bacterial small subunit ribosomal RNA
Source: RNAcentral
UGGGGAAUUUUGGACAAUGGGCGCAAGCCUGAUCCAGCCAUGCCGCGUGAGUGACGAAGGCCUUAGGGUUGUAAAGCUCUUUUGGCGGGGACGAUAAUGACGGUACCCGCAGAAUAAGCCCCGGCUAACUUCGUGCCAGCAGCCGCGGUAAUACGAAGGGGGCUAGCGUUGUUCGGAAUUACUGGGCGUAAAGCGCACGUAGGCGGAUUUGUCAGUCAGGGGUGAAAUCCCGAGGCUCAACCUCGGAACUGCCUCCGAUACAGCAAGUCUCGAGUCCGGAAGAGGUGAGUGGAAUUCCUAGUGUAGAGGUGAAAUUCGUAGAUAUUAGGAAGAACACCAGUGGCGAAGGCGGCUCACUGGUCCGGUACUGACGCUGAGGUGCGAAAGCGUGGGGAGCAAACAGGAUUAGAUACCCUCGUAGUCCCUGAGCGGGCUGGCAAGGCGCAU